RNAcentral lists this ribosomal RNA (857 nucleotides) under uncultured bacterium. RNAcentral describes it as "bacterial SSU rRNA". It matches the Rfam family "Bacterial small subunit ribosomal RNA", at positions 61 to 916 of the family's 1533-position model. The record is from RNAcentral.
GUCGGGCGGCAGCGCGGGAGCAAUCCUGGCGGCGAGCGGCGAACGGGUGAGUAAUGCUUCGGAAUCUACCCAGUAGUGGGGAAUAACCAGUCGAAAGACUGGCUAAUACCGCAUACGACCUAUGGGUGAAAGCGGGGGAUCGCAAGACCUCGCGCUAUUGGAUGAGCCGAAGUCGGAUUAGCUAGUUGGUGAGGCAACGGCUCACCAAGGCGACGAUCCGUAGCUGGUCUGAGAGGACGACCAGCCACACUGGGACUGAGACACGGCCCAGACUCCUACGGGAGGCAGCAGUGGGGAAUAUUGGACAAUGGGGGCAACCCUGAUCCAGCGACGCCGCGUGUGUGAAGAAGGCCUGCGGGUUGUAAAGCACUUUUAGUGGGGAGGAAACGCUCAGACCUAACACGUCUGGGAAUUGACUUAACCCAAAGAAAAAGCACCGGCUAACUCUGUGCCAGCAGCCGCGGUAAUACAGAGGGUGCAAGCGUUAAUCGGAAUUACUGGGCGUAAAGCGUGCGUAGACGGUUAUCUAAGUCGGAUGUGAAAUCCCCAGGCUCAACCUGGGAAUUGCAUUCGAGACUGAAUAGCUAGGGUUCGGAAGAGGGAAGCGGAAUUUCCGGUGUAGCGGUGAAAUGCGUAGAUAUCGGAAGGAACAUCAGUGGCGAAAGCGGCUUCCUGGUCCAGAACCGACGUUCAGGCACGAAAGCGUGGGGAGCAAACAGGAUUAGAUACCCUGGUAGUCCACGCCAUAAACGAUGAGAACUAGACGUUGAGAGGGUCUGCCUCCCAGUGUCGCAGCUAACGCGUUAAGUUCUCCGCCUGGGGAGUACGGCCGCAAGGUGAACUCAAGGAAUUGACGG